This 315-nucleotide ribosomal RNA is filed under the name uncultured bacterium. Its description in RNAcentral is "bacterial SSU rRNA". It matches the Rfam family "Bacterial small subunit ribosomal RNA", at positions 28 to 334 of the family's 1533-position model. The record is from RNAcentral.
GAUGAACGCUAGCGACAGGCUUAACACAUGCAAGUCGAGGGGCAGCAUGAACUUAGCUUGCUAAGUUUGAUGGCGACCGGCGCACGGGUGAGUAACGCGUAUCCAACCUGCCUUACACUCUUGGACAGCCUUCUGAAAGGGAGAUUAAUACAAGAUGUUAUCAUGAGUAAGCAUUUUCGCAUGAUUAAAGGUUUACCGGUGUAAGAUGGGGAUGCGUUCCAUUAGAUAGUUGGUGAGGUAACGGCUCACCAAGUCCACGAUGGAUAGGGGUUCUGAGAGGAAGGUCCCCCACACUGGUACUGAGACACGGACCAG